Molecule: long non-coding RNA, 591 nt
Organism: Micropterus salmoides (largemouth bass)
Lineage: Eukaryota; Metazoa; Chordata; Actinopteri; Centrarchiformes; Centrarchidae
Exons: 3
Source: RefSeq, a predicted model, not a curated record
GUACUAGAGUCUGUGCAACCGAGAAACGCUGUGUCAUUGUCUUGUAGUGUCAUUGCACACACAUCUUUACACUUGGCACAUGGGAGCAGAUGAGCUGGACUUCAAGACUAACUCCUAAAGGAAGCAUUAGAGCUGAACUAUGCUGUGACUAUUAUUCUCUGCACUGCGCAAUGCCGCUGAAUGCAUAGUCUCCUGCUGUGGCUCCUCAAAGAAGGACAGGACAUCAGCAGGAUGCCCAUACCAGUAUAAAGGGCAGAACGUGUGGACAGUCUCAAAUGAUGGAACAAAAUCCACUCAAAAUCAUCCCUAAUUGCUCCCAGCAGAGUGGACAGAAGAGAUGCACAUUUCCCCACCACCCGAUUUACCUCUCAAGCGUAUUUACUUGAUCUUUUUUGCUCUGUGCUUGUUUUAAUGAUGACUUGUCCUAAAACUCCUGGUUGGGAAGUUGGAUGAUGUCUGACAGCUGACAAGUGCAGCAGUGGCUCAGAAGUGGCUUACAAUUUCCUGUAUGUACCAAUCAUUUAUAUGGUAUGAAAGUGGCCAGCACAGCAAAUUAAACCUGAGAAUUGAAUAAAUUGGUUGUCAAAAUCA